GGGGCAGUAGCUCAGUUGGGAGAGCGCUACAUUCGCAUUGUAGAGGUCGAGGGUUCGACUCCCUUCUGCUCCA
RNAcentral lists this transfer RNA (73 nucleotides) under Ignavibacteriota bacterium. RNAcentral's name for it is "Ignavibacteriae bacterium tRNA-Ala". It matches the Rfam family "tRNA". Rfam says of the family: Transfer RNA (tRNA) molecules are approximately 80 nucleotides in length. Their secondary structure includes four short double-helical elements and three loops (D, anti-codon, and T loops). The record is from RNAcentral. Lineage: Bacteria; Pseudomonadati; Ignavibacteriota. RNAcentral also lists the same sequence under 1 other name.